Pipra filicauda (Wire-tailed manakin) is the source of this 262-nucleotide long non-coding RNA. RefSeq lists it as uncharacterized. The transcript is spliced from 3 exons. The record is from RefSeq and is a predicted model, not a curated record. NCBI's taxonomy places the organism in Eukaryota, Metazoa, Chordata, Aves, Passeriformes, Pipridae.
AGGAGGAAGGAGCAGCAGAGACAAAGUGUUAUGGAACGACCACAGUCCCCAUUCCCUAUCCCCUGCACUUCUCAGGGGAAGGAGAAGGGGAGCGAGAGCAGCUUGGUGAGUUCCUGCAGCUAGCCAAAGUUACCCCACCACAGAAAAUACACCCGAGUAGGUUCAAAAUGGACAAGAUAUCCUUGACUUUACUAAGUUACUUGACGUAAAGUUAACUUAUGCAGCCAUUGGCCAUUAAUACUUCAAGACCACCUAUGCUGGA